CAGCAGCCCGAGUGGUGGUCGUUUUUAUUGGGCCUAAAGCGUCCGUAGCCGGUCUAGUAAAUCCUUGGAUAAAUCGUACAGCUUAACUGUACGGCUCCCGGGGAGACUGCUAGACUUGGGACUGGGAGAGGUCGGAGGUACUCCAGGGGUAGGGGUGAAAUCUUGUAAUCCUUGGGGGACCACCAGUGGCGAAGGCGUCCGACCAGAACGGGUCCGACGGUAAGGGACGAAGCCCUGGGUCGCGAACCGGAUUAGAGACCCGAGUAGUCC
This 270-nucleotide ribosomal RNA is filed under the name uncultured archaeon. RNAcentral's name for it is "partial 16S ribosomal RNA". It matches the Rfam family "Archaeal small subunit ribosomal RNA", at positions 477 to 747 of the family's 1478-position model. The record is from RNAcentral.